AGCAGUAAUGAAUCUUCCGCAAUGCACGAAAGUGUGACGGAGCGACGCCGAGUGAAGGAUGAAGUCCCUCGGGAUGUAAACUUCUAAAAUCUGCUAGAAAGUACUGAUCGGCAGACUACAAGUGGCGACUAACUCUGUGCCAGCAGUCGCGGUAAUACAGAGGCCACGAGCGUUAGGCGGAAUCACUGGGCUUAAAGCGUGUGUAGGUGGAUGACUAAGUACCUUGUGAAAUCCCACGGCUCAACCGUGGAACUGCUUGGUAUACUGGUUGUCUUGAGGCACUCAGGGGCGAGCGGAACAGAUGGUGGAGCGGUGAAAUGCGUAGAUAUCAUCUGGAACGCCAAUGGUGAAGACAGCUCGCUGGGGGUGUACUGACACUGAGACACGAAAGCCAGGGGAGCGAACGGGAUUAGAUACCCCUGUAG
RNAcentral lists this ribosomal RNA (425 nucleotides) under Stenotrophomonas sp. SAM-B. RNAcentral's name for it is "bacterial SSU rRNA". It matches the Rfam family "Bacterial small subunit ribosomal RNA", at positions 350 to 793 of the family's 1533-position model. The record is from RNAcentral. Lineage: Bacteria; Pseudomonadati; Pseudomonadota; Gammaproteobacteria; Lysobacterales; Lysobacteraceae.